Molecule: long non-coding RNA, 354 nt
Filed under: Rattus norvegicus (Norway rat)
Lineage: Eukaryota; Metazoa; Chordata; Mammalia; Rodentia; Muridae
Description: long non-coding RNA NONRATT015749
Source: RNAcentral
GGCCCGGCAUGGGGGAUGGAGGCAACAAGUUUGAGCCCUAGGCGGCACCAGCCGCCCGUCCCGGGCUGUGGGUGUUCAUCUGGAGUCGGCACGGGGGAUACAGGAUGGAGCCCCACGGAUUUCAGUUUUUCUGACUGUUAAAUGAGAGGAUGAUUGCUCACAAACAGAAAAAGGCAAAGAAAAAACGUGUUUGGGCAUCAGGCCAACUCUCUGCCGCUAUUACAACUUCUGAAAUGGGGCUCAAGUCCGUAAGUUCCAACUCCAUUUUUGAUCCGGAAUACAUCAAGGAGCUGGUGAAUGAUAUCAGGAAGUUCUCCCAUGUGUUACUAUAUUUGAAAGAAGCUAUUCUUUCAG